Molecule: ribosomal RNA, 1298 nt
Filed under: metagenome
Description: bacterial LSU rRNA
Rfam family: Bacterial large subunit ribosomal RNA
Source: RNAcentral
CACACGACCGUGCCGCAAACCGACACUGGUGCGCGAGAUGAGUAUUCUAAGGCGCUUGAGAGAACUCAGGAGAAGGAACUCGGCAAAUUGACACCGUAACUUCGGAAGAAGGUGUGCCUUUAGUAGGUGAACCUGUACAAGGGGAGCCCAAUGAGGUUGCAAAAAAUCGGUGGCUGCGACUGUUUAAUAAAAACACAGCACUCUGCAAACACGAAAGUGGACGUAUAGGGUGUGACGCCUGCCCGGUGCUGGAAGAUUAAAUGAUGGGGUGCAAGCUCUUGAUUGAAGUCCCAGUAAACGGCGGCCGUAACCAUAACGGUCCUAAGGUAGCGAAAUUCCUUGUCGGGUAAGUUCCGACCUGCACGAAUGGCGUAACGAUGGCCACACUGUCUCCUCCUGAGACUCAGCGAAGUUGAAAUGUUUGUGAUGAUGCAAUCUCCCCGCGGAAAGACGGAAAGACCCCAUGAACCUUUACUGUAGCUUUGUAUUGGACUUUGAACAGAUCUGUGUAGGAUAGGUGGGAGGCUUUAAAGUGUGGUCGCUAGAUCGCAUGGAGCCAACGUUGAAAUACCACCCUGGUGUGUUUAAGGUUCUAACCUAGGCCCGUAAUCCGGGUCGGGGACAGUGCAUGGUAGGCAGUUUGACUGGGGCGGUCUCCUCCCAAAGCGUAACGGAGGAGUUCGAAGGUACGCUAGGUACGGUCGGACAUCGUGCUAAUAGUGCAAUGGCAUAAGCGUGCUUAACUGCGAGACUGACAAGUCGAGCAGAUGCGAAAGCAGGACAUAGUGAUCCGGUGGUUCUGUAUGGAAGGGCCAUCGCUCAACGGAUAAAAGGUACUCUGGGGAUAACAGGCUGAUACCGCCCAAGAGUUCAUAUCGACGGCGGUGUUUGGCACCUCGAUGUCGGCUCAUCUCAUCCUGGGGCUGUAGCCGGUCCCAAGGGUAUGGCUGUUCGCCAUUUAAAGAGGUACGUGAGCUGGGUUUAAAACGUCGUGAGACAGUUUGGUCCCUAUCUUCCGUGGGCGCUGCAGAUUUGAGGAAGCCUGCUCCUAGUACGAGAGGACCGGAGUGGACACACCUCUGGUGUAUCGGUUGUCACGCCAGUGGCAUUGCCGAGUAGCUAUGUGUGGAAGAGAUAACCGCUGAAAGCAUCUAAGCGGGAAACUCGUUUCAAGAUGGGAUCUGCCGGGGCCAUGAGCCCCCUAAAGAGUCGUUCAAGACCAGGACGUUGAUAGGUCGGGUGUGGAAGCGCAGUAAUGCGUUAAGCUAACCGAUACUAAUUGCUCGUGCGGCUUGACC